UGUCCUUGUCUCCCAUGGGGGUGGUUGGGGCCCAGGCAGUCGGAGCAUUAAUCUGCAGCCUUUCCAGGCACAGUAGCAGGAAGUUGGAUCCGAAGCAGAGCAGCCAGGACUCAGACCUGCAGGCCCGUGUGGGAUGCGAACCCGUGGUUUCACCAACUGUGCCCAAACAGCCCUGCGGAGUGACUGAGAUCUUCUCUCCGCUGGUUCGCUCCCCAAAUGGCCACAACAGUUGGGGCUGGGCCAGGUCGAAGCCCUGAACUCCAUCCGGGUCUCCCACUUGUGUGGCAGAGGCCCAAGUACUUGGGCCAUCAUCUGCUGCCUUCCCAGCCGUCUUAGCAGGGAGCUGGAUCAGACACAGAGCAGCCGGGCUUCACACCAACCCUCUGAUAGGGGAUGCUGCUACGGGAAGCAGCGGCUUAACUCACUGUGCCACAAGACCAGUCCCUCUGUGUUUUAACUUCACCUGGGUGGUUCACCUGCCUGGGUAACCCCCUGUUCAUUUCCCUUUGUUAAUAAAGCUGCGGUGCUCUGGCUUUCACUCCUAGCCCUGUGAACAUGUUGCAUGUCCCUGCUGUGCGGCCGUAGGUUUUAGGAACUUGUAUUCUUGAUCGGCACUCACACUUUUACAUCCAUACAUUCCUAAGCAAUAAAUGGUUCUGUGUCUUUUUAAUUUGUGUAAA
Non-coding RNA from Oryctolagus cuniculus (rabbit), 680 nucleotides. The record is from RefSeq and is a predicted model, not a curated record. NCBI's taxonomy places the organism in Eukaryota, Metazoa, Chordata, Mammalia, Lagomorpha, Leporidae.